Molecule: ribosomal RNA, 267 nt
Filed under: Staphylococcus aureus
Lineage: Bacteria; Bacillati; Bacillota; Bacilli; Caryophanales; Staphylococcaceae
Description: partial 23S ribosomal RNA
Rfam family: Bacterial large subunit ribosomal RNA
Source: RNAcentral
AAAUUUGAGAGGAGCUGUCCUUAGUACGAGAGGACCGGGAUGGACAUACCUCUGGUGUACCAGUUGUCGUGCCAACGGCAUAGCUGGGUAGCUAUGUGUGGACGGGAUAAGUGCUGAAAGCAUCUAAGCAUGAAGCCCCCCUCAAGAUGAGAUUUCCCAACUUCGGUUAUAAGAUCCCUCAAAGAUGAUGAGGUUAAUAGGUUCGAGGUGGAAGCAUGGUGACAUGUGGAGCUGACGAAUACUAAUCGAUCGAAGACUUAAUCAAAA